Brachypodium distachyon (stiff brome) is the source of this 2003-nucleotide long non-coding RNA. RefSeq lists it as uncharacterized. Lineage: Eukaryota; Viridiplantae; Streptophyta; Magnoliopsida; Poales; Poaceae. The transcript is spliced from 2 exons. The record is from RefSeq and is a predicted model, not a curated record.
CUGCUGCGGAAUGCUGAUCAAUGUUCAAGCUAGUAUGCGAGAUGGUCAGCUCAAACUGAUCAAUGAUAUAUACCUGUGCAGUUCGUUACUCUCGCUACCUUGCUCAAGGUCCUCACAGGCUCUCUUUCUCUUCUUGGAUAUUAUGCAUGAGAUAUGUGCAUGGCUGGGUGAUCGUGGGAGACGGCUAGUUCAUUUAUAUACAAGAAGGACGUCCUGCUCCCAGCAGCUUUCCAAAGCCGUCAGUUUCUCUUUUAGGUGAACUGUCUGCUUCAAUAUUAAAGGUAAAUCCUGUGCUUCGAAUUGAUCGUAAGCUGUUGGUUGCCGGAGGUGUUAAUUUUUUUUCUCAGAUCAAAAGGCUUUUCGCCCUGCUCCGUUUCCAUAAACAAAGAAAAAAGUGUACGCAUAGAAUGCCCCUAACAGGUUCAGAACUUAAUAUAGAACAUCUUCUCCAGCUUAAUUGGGGAUUCUCAUUCUCCCAAGCUUUCCUCUUACAUCUGCUCCAGCAGUGGUAUCUGUCCAGCCGGGUAGAAAGGUAGCUAACACGCCUUAACACAAGCAAAACAACUUCUCCCAAACAAUCUGCAAACCAGACCACAUACUUCUGCAGCAGAGCAGAUGUAAUCAUAUUCAACACACCACGUGCUGGUUUGUGUCCAUUUUUUCUUCUAGUGUUGUUGUCGUACGUUUGUGGUGUAGUCUCUGUUGUACUAGGUAGAUUUUAUGGUUUAUGAUGUGGGUCUUUUAAUCAGAAGAAACGAAUAAUAUAUUAGGUGUCUUUUUGCGGUACAUUUUACUACCUAGGAAGGAGAUCACUAGUAUAAGUCUAAUCCCACCGUUGAUUUUUCAGAUUGCAUGUAAGUUUCAUUAAGUUUGCUUCGUUACCAAAAUACUCUAUGACUGUAAUUAAUGUACUCCCUCCAUCCAUAUUAUUUGUCGCAGAUUUAAUACGAAAUUUACAGAUAACGGAUGACCAUUAUUCUUGCAAUUCUUAGAAACAAGGGUCGUGCAAUUAAUGAAUUACUGCCAUUUGCAAAGCAUUUUGUUUGCUACAAUGAUUCAAGGCAUGUUCUAUUUCUCUUCUUUGUGUUUAAAAUUUGUGCAUUUUUAAUUUUAGAUAAACUCAUAUCGAGUACUGUUGCUAGUCAAAGUGCUAUUGUCAGUGUAACUGUUCUAUCAAGUACAGCACGGCUUGUAGAUGUGGCUAUAUAUUGCACGUUUAUUGAAAAAAAUACCAAGGACUUUUUUUUGAGAUGAAAAGUACCAAGGAAUUGAAAGAACUGGAUAGUGCAAGAAGGCAACAACAAGAAAAUGUACAUGUAUUUGCUGCAUGGUGAAACGAGAGAAGAGCAAGAGGAACUGCACAGGGGAGAAUGGAAGCUAUUGAGCAUGCUUAGAGUUGUUUUUCUUUGUUGCCCAUGAAGAAGUCAAAGAUGGCAGCUCCUGCGCUUCAGUCCUUUGCGUCGCCCUGCGUGGCUCGCUGAGCUUUCGUGCCAGCUUUAGAACUGAACCCUGAUUUUGUUUUGCCUGUGAUGGCCGAUGUUAACCUGCACUCUGAUGGGUGAUUUUGUUUUGCACUGUGAUGGGUGACCUGUAUGGAGUACUACAAUGUACUACUGUACCGUGUUACCCGAGAUGAUGUAGGGGUUGGGCAAGACAGAGAGCGACCACGGAGGCGAACAAUUUCAGAUUGUUUACUGCAAAGGCAGUGAAAACAGAGUAGCUCACCCAUUAUCUAGCCGGCCUCAUCUCGAGCCCACUGUGCUCGCUCUUUCAUCGAGCCAACCAGUUUGGACUGAGGACAUUGCUGCUUCAUAUCAGCGGAAGAAUGGAAUGUUCCAUUUGCCAACAGUCCAAGCAAGAUAGGGCUCGUUACCCCGAGCUUGGCAGAUGGCCACAUUGGAUUUUAUCGAAGGCCUUCCUAGAUCAAAGCGUGUCAACUGUAUGUAUUCUCGUGGUAUACAAAUUCUCUCCCUAUGCUUUUUUGACUACUCAACUCCGGAUGA